CAGAUGGUAGCUCAGCGGUUAGAGUUACUGCUUUUGGAUCAAAAGGUCGCGGGUUCGAUUCCCACCUCACUGC
RNAcentral lists this transfer RNA (73 nucleotides) under Scleropages formosus (Asian bonytongue). It matches the Rfam family "tRNA". Rfam says of the family: Transfer RNA (tRNA) molecules are approximately 80 nucleotides in length. Their secondary structure includes four short double-helical elements and three loops (D, anti-codon, and T loops). The record is from Rfam by way of RNAcentral. Lineage: Eukaryota; Metazoa; Chordata; Actinopteri; Osteoglossiformes; Osteoglossidae.